UGAGGGAAAGUUGCAAAGAACUUUGAAGAGAGAGUUCAAGAGUACGUGAAACUGCUCGGAGGCAAACGGGUGGGGCCUCGAAAUCCCGUCGCGAGGGGAUUCAGUCGAGGGGCGAAGACGGUCCCGGGUCGGCGGCCCUUUGGUGCGCGCUCUACCCGUGGCAUCGUUCCGAGCCCGGAGACGCACUUCCCCUCGCGCAGAGGACGUCGCAGCCGGUUCGGUACUAUAGAAGUCCGGUCUAGGAUCGGGUCGAGAAAGUAGGCGAUCCGUCGCCGUUCUCCCCGACUUCAGACGCGGCACCGGACCGAGGAGUGUGGUGAGCCGUCCCCCCGCACGAACGGGCGGGCACGGGCAACCGGCGCGAGAGGUGCGCGAGGUUCGACCGCCAGCGUCGAUCCGUCGCGGAACCGAUCCGCCGGGAGCCCGGGACCCGCGAAGGGGGCGAGCGGCUGGCGGCGAGUAGGUCGGUCACCCACCCGACCCGUCUUGAAACACGGACCAAGGAGUCCGGCGCGUGCGCGAGUCGUCGAGACUUGAACAGGCUCGAGGGCGCAAUCAACGUGAUCCGAGUUCCUUCUCUGGGCUCGGCUGUCCGCGAUCCGACUAUUCGUAGUCGGCGCAGCGGCGGGCCGUCCAGGUCUUUGGAACCAACAGGGACGGACCCAGAGCGCACGUGCUGGUACCCGAAAGAUGGUGAACUAUGCCCGGGCAGGUUGAAGCUGGAGGAAACUCUGGUGGAGGGCCGCCGCGGUUCUGACGUGCAAAUCGAUCGUCUGACCUAGG
RNAcentral lists this ribosomal RNA (783 nucleotides) under Wanniyala sp. SL17. RNAcentral describes it as "partial 28S ribosomal RNA". It matches the Rfam family "Eukaryotic large subunit ribosomal RNA", at positions 354 to 915 of the family's 3401-position model. Lineage: Eukaryota; Metazoa; Arthropoda; Arachnida; Araneae; Pholcidae. The record is from RNAcentral.